CCUACGGGUGGCAGCAGUGAGGAAUAUUGGUCAAUGGCCGGAAGGCUGAACCAGCCAAGUCGCGUGAAGGACGAAGGUGCCAAGCAUUGUAAACUUCUUUUGUCAAGGGACAAAAUCAGGCUCGAGAGCCUGACCGAGGGUACCUGAAGAAAAAGCAUCGGCUAACUCCGUGCCAGCAGCCGCGGUAAUACGGAGGAUGCGAGCGUUAUCCGGAUUUAUUGGGUUUAAAGGGUGCGUAGGCGGACGGUUAAGUCAGCGGUAAAAUCCCGGGGCUCAACCCCGCGUAGCCGUUGAAACUGGGUGUCUUGAGAUCGCGAGGGGUAUGCGGAAUGCGCGGUGUAGCGGUGAAAUGCUUAGAUAUCGCGCAGAACUCCGAUUGCGAAGGCAGCAUACCGGCGGCGAUCUGACGCUGAGGCACGAAAGCGUGGGUAUCGAACAGGAUUAGAUACCCCAGUAGUC
This 459-nucleotide ribosomal RNA is filed under the name uncultured bacterium. Its description in RNAcentral is "partial 16S ribosomal RNA". It matches the Rfam family "Bacterial small subunit ribosomal RNA", at positions 338 to 795 of the family's 1533-position model. The record is from RNAcentral.